AGUGAACGCUGGCGGUAGGCCUAACACAUGCAAGUCGAACGGCAGCACAGUAAGAGCUUGCUCUUACGGGUGGCGAGUGGCGGACGGGUGAGGAAUACAUCGGAAUCUACUUUUUCGUGGGGGAUAACGUAGGGAAACUUACGCUAAUACCGCAUACGACCUACGGGUGAAAGCAGGGGAUCUUCGGACCUUGCGCGAUUGAAUGAGCCGAUGUCGGAUUAGCUAGUUGGCGGGGUAAAGGCCCACCAAGGCGACGAUACGUAGCUGGUCUGAGAGGAUGAUCAGCCACACUGGAACUGAGACACGGUCCAGACUCCUACGGGAGGCAGCAGUGGGGAAUAGUGGGCAAUGGGCGCAAGCCUGAUCCCGCCAGACCGCGUGGGUGAAGAAGGCCUUCGGGUUGUAAAGCCCUUUUGUUGGGAAAGAAAAGCAGCAGGUUAAUACCCCGCUGUUCUGACGGUACCCAAAGAAUAAGCACCGGCUAACUUCGUG
This 492-nucleotide ribosomal RNA is filed under the name uncultured bacterium. RNAcentral's name for it is "partial 16S ribosomal RNA". It matches the Rfam family "Bacterial small subunit ribosomal RNA", at positions 29 to 507 of the family's 1533-position model. The record is from RNAcentral.